UAGAUGUCCAUCAAAGGGAUUGGAUUUGAGAUGCUUUCUAAGAGAUCCCUUCUUAGGAAGGUUCAGACUAUAUGCACUCAAAAUGUCUCUUAUGAAGUAGGAAGUUUAAGCUCAUUCCAAAAUGAAUUCCCAAAGGUAGAAUUUCUUCUUCCCUUAGAUGAUUUAGGAGCACUACUAGUUUGGGUUGGAUAGCCGAAUCAUGGGAUUGAAAUAUUUGGAAAUCGGCUAUUGAAACUUCCUUUCCUCGUCUCCGAGAUGAUUCCUUCUCUAUCUCUAGGAUUUUUUAUGAAGACUAGUGCAAGAAGGAUGUCCACACAUGAAGACAUACCUUGCUUUACUAAUAGAUAAAGAAAGAAAAACUCUACCAAAGGUUAUAUGAUUAAGACCAAUGUGAAAAUAUCGAGGAAAAACAUGGACUUGUAGGGCUAGGUCUAAACCAGAACUUAUAAAAAUAAUAAAAGAUUCCCUAGGUGUAGCUAAAAGUUCAUUAUCUUCUUGAUUAAAAGAUAGGACCUCGGCUAUAGAAAAGGGUUGGUUUUGACCUAUUGCAAUCAACUCUGGACACAGAUCAUAAUUAGAGGCAAAGAAAGGACUUGUUUACUCCCAUGGUCUAUGGCUGGUCUCUAAAGGUGCAAAAAAUUCAAUAAUAGGUGUGGAAUUUUAGUUAUCCAUAAAGAUGGAAAAAAUAAAAAAGAUAAAAGAAUAAAAGUAUAAAACAAGAUAAUAGUAAGACUCAAAGUUAUCUCAGCAAACCGUCUUUCUCCCCAGCAACGGCGCCAGAAAUGCUUGUUGAUAUUUGUUAACGCCAUCAGGAAAUGAUCCGGAAGCGCACGAAUAUCGGUGAGCACUUCACCCGAGAGGUUAUCCAGAGUAUCGUAUUUAUAUUUUUACGACUGGGAGAAAGCGUGCAUCUGACUAACAAAAUCUAUUGCUACUACCCUUUAGGCUACAAACAAUGUGAUUUAAUGUGAGCGAUGUAUAGAGAAGACUACAACAGCACUCUCAUUCUAACCUUGAUAAGAAUGAUCUACUGUUCUAUUGGGGAGGCUUAUGGAAUGUAGACACCACAAAGGAUGUUUGACCCGCACCUAUAAACCCU
RNAcentral lists this long non-coding RNA (1099 nucleotides) under Sorghum bicolor (sorghum). RNAcentral describes it as "long non-coding RNA (SBIC_LNC005127)". The record is from RNAcentral. Lineage: Eukaryota; Viridiplantae; Streptophyta; Magnoliopsida; Poales; Poaceae.